UCAAAUGUAGAGUCAACCGAGCAAACUAGGCCAAAAAUAAAUCCAAAAUAAAUUAAAAAUGGGAAAUAAAAUUCCAAUAAAAAGUCAGGUUGACCAUGAGAAAUUGGUCAACCCUCAUCCCAAAAAUCAGAAUCUAAAAAUAAUUUUAAGUUAUGGAAAUAAAAUAAAUGAAAAAAAGUGUGUUAAAAUGGCCUAUUUGAAACAAAUAAUUGAAAUAAAAUACUAGCAUUAAAUAAAAACGAAAAUAAAAAUUAAAAUAAAUUAAAUAAGACAAUAAGGAAAGUAAAAAAAUAUUUUUUGGCAUUUUUGUGAACAAAUAAAAUAUUUUUAAUAAUUAAAAGUAAAACAGAAAAAUAAAGUGGAAAUAAAAAGAAAUGAAAAGAAAUGAAAGAGUAUCAUGGCAAUGGGCUUUGUGUGUGGGUGUGAAUAGCAAGCGGGUAAAGGCCCGGUCCAGCGGAGCAUUCAGCAUGUGACCAAAAAUAACAAAAA
RNAcentral lists this long non-coding RNA (489 nucleotides) under Lathyrus oleraceus (garden pea). RNAcentral's name for it is "Pisum sativum (pea) long non-coding RNA (PSAT_LNC031706)". The record is from RNAcentral. Lineage: Eukaryota; Viridiplantae; Streptophyta; Magnoliopsida; Fabales; Fabaceae.